AUUGAACGCUAACGGCGUGCUUAACACAUGCAAGUCGAGCGGCAGCAUGAUCUGUAGCAAUACAGAUUGAUGGCGAGCGGCGGACGGGUGAGUAAUGCAUAGGAAUCUGCCUUGUAGUGGGGGAUAACCCGGGGAAACUCGGGCUAAUACCGCAUAAUCUCUACGGAGCAAAGUGGGGGAUCGUAAGACCUAACGCGAAAAGAUGAGCCUAUGUUGGAUUAGCUAGUUGGUGGGGUAAUGGCUCACCAAGGCGACGAUCCAUAGCUGGUCUGAGAGGAUGAUCAGCCACACUGGGACUGAGACACGGCCCAGACUCCUGCGGGAGGCAGCAGUGGGGAAUAUUGGACAAUGGGCGAAAGCCUGAUCCAGCAACGCCGUGUGUGUGAAGAAGGCCUUCGGGUUGUAAAGCACUUUUAGUUGGGAAGAAAAGCUCAUGGGUAAUAUCCAUGAGUGCUGACGUUACCAACAGAAAAAGCACUGGCUAACUCUGUGCCAGCCGCCGCGGUAA
This 508-nucleotide ribosomal RNA is filed under the name uncultured bacterium. Its description in RNAcentral is "partial 16S ribosomal RNA". It matches the Rfam family "Bacterial small subunit ribosomal RNA", at positions 30 to 523 of the family's 1533-position model. The record is from RNAcentral.